AAGGGAGACCUAAUUCAGGUAUGGGACGAAAAAAAAGUAGUCGCUACCAAGAAUCAAUCCCAAAAGGUCGGAGCGAGGUAUGAGGCUUUCAAACUAGGUUCUGGGUUCAAACAAGACCUGAAUCAGGAACAAGGGCUAUUAGCUCAGGUGGUUAGAGCGCACCCCUGAUAAGGGUGAGGUCCCUGGUUCGAGUCCAGGAUGGCCCACCUGCACAGGUGGCAAAAACAAGAGAAGCGAGGAAUCAGCACCUUAUCUUAUCUAUAUAUAUAUAUAGGAGAGAAUGCUGGCUCUGAGUAAAGAGUCCAGAGGAACCUUGAAAACUGCAUAGAGCUAGGUGAAAAAGCCAAAAAAGAAGACCGCAAGGUCAAGCUAAUAAGGGCUAACGGUGGAUACCUAGGCAC
RNAcentral lists this transfer RNA (401 nucleotides) under uncultured Microcystis sp. RNAcentral's name for it is "partial contains 16S-23S ribosomal RNA intergenic spacer, and 23S ribosomal RNA". The stretch from base 133 to 206 matches the Rfam family "tRNA". The record is from RNAcentral. Lineage: Bacteria; Bacillati; Cyanobacteriota; Cyanophyceae; Chroococcales; Microcystaceae.